Molecule: ribosomal RNA, 857 nt
Filed under: uncultured bacterium
Lineage: Bacteria
Description: SSU rRNA
Rfam family: Bacterial small subunit ribosomal RNA
Source: RNAcentral
UACGGAGGGUGCAAGCGUUAUCCGGAUUCACUGGGUUUAAAGGGUGCGUAGGCGGGUAGGUAAGUCAGUGGUGAAAUCCUGGAGCUCAACUCCAGAACUGCCAUUGAUACUAUCUAUCUUGAAUAUUGUGGAGGUAAGCGGAAUAUGUCAUGUAGCGGUGAAAUGCUUAGAUAUGACAUAGAACACCCAUUGCGAAGGCAGCUUACUACGCAUAUAUUGACGCUGAGGCACGAAAGCGUGGGGAUCAAACAGGAUUAGAUACCCUGGUAGUCCACGCCCUAAACGAUGGAUACUCGACAUACGCGAUACACUGUGUGUGUCUGAGCGAAAGCAUUAAGUAUCCCACCUGGGAAGUACGUUCGCAAGAAUGAAACUCAAAGGAAUUGGCGGGGGUCCGCACAAGCGGUGGAGUAUGUGGUUUAAUUCGAUGAUACGCGAGGAACCUUACCUGGGCUAGAAUGCUGGGAGACCGCUAGUGAAAGCUAGUUUUGUAGCAAUACACUGCCAGUAAGGUGCUGCAUGGCCGUCGUCAGCUCGUGCCGUGAGGUGUUGGGUUAAGUCCCGCAACGAGCGCAACCCCUAUCUUUAGUUGCCAACAGGUAAUGCUGGGAACUCUAAAGAAACUGCCGCCGUAAGGUGUGAGGAAGGGGGGGAUGAUGUCAGGUCAUCAUGGCCUUUAUGCCCAGGGCUACACACGUACUACAAUGGGGGAGACAAAGGGCUGCAACAUAGCGAUAUGAAGCCAAUCCCAAAAACUCCCUCUCAGUUCAGAUUGCAGGCUGCAACUCGCCUGCAUGAAGCUGGAAUCGCUAGUAAUCGUAUAUCAGCAAUGAUACGGUGAAUACGUUCCCGGACCU